CGAAGAGGCUAAACGCGGCGGACUGUAAAUCCGCUCCUUCGGGUUCGGGGGUUCGAAUCCCUCUCUUUCCA
RNAcentral lists this transfer RNA (71 nucleotides) under Streptococcus pyogenes. Its description in RNAcentral is "tRNA-Tyr". It matches the Rfam family "tRNA", at positions 11 to 71 of the family's 71-position model. From Rfam's summary of the family: Transfer RNA (tRNA) molecules are approximately 80 nucleotides in length. Their secondary structure includes four short double-helical elements and three loops (D, anti-codon, and T loops). Further hydrogen bonds mediate the characteristic L-shaped molecular structure. tRNAs have two regions of fundamental functional importance: the anti-codon, which is responsible for specific mRNA codon recognition, and the 3' end, to which the tRNAs corresponding amino acid is attached (by aminoacyl-tRNA synthetases). tRNAs cope with the degeneracy of the genetic code in two manners: having more than one tRNA (with a specific anti-codon) for a particular amino acid; and 'wobble' base-pairing, i.e. permitting non-standard base-pairing at the 3rd anti-codon position. The record is from RNAcentral. Lineage: Bacteria; Bacillati; Bacillota; Bacilli; Lactobacillales; Streptococcaceae.